UUUUGCAUGACUCAGUAAUGCACUACAACAUUGUUAUUGUCAAAUUGUGAUUCACAAUUAGCCUGUUCAUCACUAAAUGGAGCUAAAGUAAAUUCAAAAUAAAAGAUGAAUGAUAUAAAUAUAAGAAUAAAACCCCGAGAAGUAAAUGUAAGACUCCUACUGGUUAAGAGGGAGCAAGCCCCGCCCUCACCUGCUCUGUAGCGUCGCAUGUGCUUACACACACACACACACAGAGACGGAUGUGCGUGAGACCACUGUUGAUUUAAACUGUGAGUUAUUGCUGGAAAAAAAAACAACUAUAAACGUGAUAAAUUGAGCAAAUAUCCAUACCGGAAAUCUGCAAGGAUUUCGGAGGGACGAACUUGGGUGAACUUUUUGAACUUCGGAAUCAACGCGAUCUGCACGGGUGUGGAUGAAGCGGACAGGAUCUUCUCUAAGAGUGAACAUUUGAAGCGCGCUGGCUAGGUUUUUGUGGGACCGUGAGAUCUGGAUUUCUUCCUGACGAGGAAGAUGGCGAGCCUUUCUUUUUGAAUCGAACCGGAGCCAUUCCGAGUUGGCCCAGAAGGGCAGGUUGCUCUUCUUUCAUGAACAAUCACAACAGUGCGGUAGGACGAAAUCGCACCAAUCACAGACUUUUGACUUUUUGGAUUUUACUUGACUGAACACUGACUAUUACGCUGGCAAGACUGACAUAUCUGAGCUCAGAUAGGAUUGGGAAAUUACUAUUGCUGUUGUUUUUAUUUUAUAUUUCCAUUCCUGUUAGAAAGAGUUGUUUACUCAUUGUUAUACAUAUCAAUACAAUUCAAGACAAUUUUAUCUGUGACUCCAGUCAUUCUUCUCCAUGCAACUCACUUUAUCCCUCCUGCGAAUCUAGCUAUUGGCCCAUUUUCUCCAUUUUACCAUAACCUACCCUACCCUAUCCUGUAGCGG
Long non-coding RNA from Clarias gariepinus (North African catfish), 930 nucleotides. RefSeq lists it as uncharacterized. Lineage: Eukaryota; Metazoa; Chordata; Actinopteri; Siluriformes; Clariidae. The transcript has 3 exons. The record is from RefSeq and is a predicted model, not a curated record.